RNAcentral lists this ribosomal RNA (748 nucleotides) under uncultured Lachnospiraceae bacterium. RNAcentral describes it as "bacterial SSU rRNA". It matches the Rfam family "Bacterial small subunit ribosomal RNA", at positions 28 to 776 of the family's 1533-position model. Lineage: Bacteria; Bacillati; Bacillota; Clostridia; Lachnospirales; Lachnospiraceae. The record is from RNAcentral.
GAUGAACGCUGGCGGCGUGCUUAACACAUGCAAGUCGAACGAAGCUGCCCGGAGGAAGUUUUCGGAUGGAAUUUAGGUAGACUUAGUGGCGGACGGGUGAGUAACGCGUGGAUAACCUGCCUUAUACAGGGGGAUAACGGAGAGAAAUUUCCGCUAACACCGCAUAAGACCACAGCACCGCAUGGUGCAGGGGUAAAAUAUUUAUAGGUAUAAGAUGGAUCCGCGUCCGAUUAGCUAGUUGGUGAGGUAAAGGCCCACCAAGGCGACGAUCGGUAGCCGGCCUGAGAGGGUGAACGGCCACAUUGGGACUGAGACACGGCCCAAACUCCUACGGGAGGCAGCAGUGGGGAAUAUUGGACAAUGGGGGAAACCCUGAUCCAGCGACGCCGCGUGAGUGAAGAAGUAUUUCGGUAUGUAAAGCUCUAUCAGCAGGGAAGAAAAUGACGGUACCUGACUAAGAAGCCCCGGCUAACUACGUGCCAGCAGCCGCGGUAAUACGUAGGGGGCAAGCGUUAUCCGGAUUUACUGGGUGUAAAGGGAGCGCAGACGGCAAUGCAAGUCUGAAGUGAAAGGCGUGGGCUCAACCCAUGAACUGCUUUGGAAACUGUAUAGCUUGAGUGUCGGAGGGGUAAGCGGAAUUCCUAGUGUAGCGGUGAAAUGCGUAGAUAUUAGGAGGAACACCGGAGGCGAAGGCGGCUUACUGGACGACAACUGACGUUGAGGCUCGAAGGCGUGGGGAGCAAACAGG